This 72-nucleotide transfer RNA is filed under the name Camelus ferus (Wild Bactrian camel). It matches the Rfam family "tRNA". Rfam says of the family: Transfer RNA (tRNA) molecules are approximately 80 nucleotides in length. Their secondary structure includes four short double-helical elements and three loops (D, anti-codon, and T loops). Further hydrogen bonds mediate the characteristic L-shaped molecular structure. tRNAs have two regions of fundamental functional importance: the anti-codon, which is responsible for specific mRNA codon recognition, and the 3' end, to which the tRNAs corresponding amino acid is attached (by aminoacyl-tRNA synthetases). tRNAs cope with the degeneracy of the genetic code in two manners: having more than one tRNA (with a specific anti-codon) for a particular amino acid; and 'wobble' base-pairing, i.e. permitting non-standard base-pairing at the 3rd anti-codon position. Lineage: Eukaryota; Metazoa; Chordata; Mammalia; Artiodactyla; Camelidae. The record is from Rfam by way of RNAcentral.
AGGGGUAUAGCUCAGGGGUAGAGUGUGUGCUUAGCGUGCACAAGGUCCUGGGUUCAAUCCUCAGUACCUCCA